GCACGAGACCUUCGGGUCUAGUGGCGCACGGGUGCGUAACGCGUGGGAAUCUGCCCUUGGGUUCGGAAUAACAGUUAGAAAUGACUGCUAAUACCGGAUGAUGACGUAAGUCCAAAGAUUUAUCGCCCAAGGAUGAGCCCGCGUAGGAUUAGCUUGUUGGUGAGGUAAAAGCUCACCAAGGCGACGAUCCUUAGCUGGUCUGAGAGGAUGAUCAGCCACACUGGGACUGAGACACGGCCCAGACUCCUACGGGAGGCAGCAGUGGGGAAUAUUGGACAAUGGGCGAAAGCCUGAUCCAGCAAUGCCGCGUGAGUGAUGAAGGCCUUAGGGUUGUAAAGCUCUUUUACCCGGGAUGAUAAUGACAGUACCGGGAGAAUAAGCUCCGGCUAACUCCGUG
Molecule: ribosomal RNA, 397 nt
Filed under: uncultured bacterium
Lineage: Bacteria
Description: bacterial SSU rRNA
Rfam family: Bacterial small subunit ribosomal RNA
Source: RNAcentral